GACGAACGCUGGCGGCGUGCUUAACACAUGCAAGUCGAACGGAAAGGCCCUUCGGGGUACUCGAGUGGCGAACGGGUGAGUAACACGUGGGUGAUCUGCCCUGCACUUUGGGAUAAGCCUGGGAAACUGGGUCUAAUACCGGAUAGGACCACGCGCUUCAUGGUGUGUGGUGGAAAGCUUUUGCGGUGUGGGAUGGGCCCGCGGCCUAUCAGCUUGUUGGUGGGGUAAUGGCCUACCAAGGCGACGACGAGUAGCCGGCCUGAGAGGGUGACCGGCCACACUGGGACUGAGAUACGGCCCAGACUCAUACGGGAGGCAGCAGUGGGGAAUAUUGCACAAUGGGCGCAAGCCUGAUGCAGCGACGCCGCGUGAGGGAUGACGGCCUUCGGGUUGUAAACCUCUUUCGCCAGGGACGAAGCGCAAGUGACGGUACCUGGAGAAGAAGGACCGGCCAACUACGUGCCAGCCGCCGCAGUAA
RNAcentral lists this ribosomal RNA (478 nucleotides) under uncultured bacterium. RNAcentral describes it as "partial 16S ribosomal RNA". It matches the Rfam family "Bacterial small subunit ribosomal RNA", at positions 28 to 523 of the family's 1533-position model. The record is from RNAcentral.